This 576-nucleotide ribosomal RNA is filed under the name uncultured bacterium. RNAcentral describes it as "bacterial SSU rRNA". It matches the Rfam family "Bacterial small subunit ribosomal RNA", at positions 338 to 916 of the family's 1533-position model. The record is from RNAcentral.
CCUACGGGAGGCAGCAGUGAGGAAUAUUGGACAAUGGGCGCAAGCCUGAUCCAGCCAUGCCGCGUGCAGGAAGACGCAUCUAUGGUGUGUAAACUGCUUUUGUACGGGAAGAAACACUCCCUCGUGAGGGAGCUUGACGGUACCGUAAGAAUAAGGAUCGGCUAACUCCGUGCCAGCAGCCGCGGUAAUACGGAGGAUCCAAGCGUUAUCCGGAAUCAUUGGGUUUAAAGGGUCCGUAGGCGGUUUAAUAAGUCAGUGGUGAAAGCCCAUCGCUCAACGAUGGAACGGCCAUUGAUACUGUUAGACUUGAAUUACUAGGAAGUAACUAGAAUAUGUAGUGUAGCGGUGAAAUGCUUAGAUAUUACAUGGAAUACCAAUUGCGAAGGCAGGUUACUACUAGUGGAUUGACGCUGAUGGACGAAAGCGUGGGGAGCGAACAGGAUUAGAUACCCUGGUAGUCCACGCCGUAAACGAUGGAUACUAGCUGUUGGGCGCAAGUUCAGUGGCUAAGCGAAAGUGAUAAGUAUCCCACCUGGGGAGUACGUUCGCAAGAAUGAAACUCAAAGGAAUUGACGG